ACGGAAGGCAGCAGUGGGGAAUAUUGCACAAUGGGGGAAACCCUGAUGCAGCGACGCCGCGUGAAGGAAGAAGUAUCUCGGUAUGUAAACUUCUAUCAGCAGGGAAGAAAAUGACGGUACCUGACUAAGAAGCCCCGGCUAACUACGUGCCAGCAGCCGCGGUAAUACGCAGGGGGCAAGCGUUAUCCGGAUUUACUGGGUGUAAAGGGAGCGUAGACGGAAUUGCAAGUCUGAUGUGAAAGGCAUGGGCUCAACCUGUGGACUGCAUUGGAAACUGUGAUUCUUGAGUGCCGGAGGGGUAAGCGGAAUUCCUGGUGUAGCGGUGAAAUGCGUAGAUAUCAGGAGGAACACCGGUGGCGAAGGCGGCUUACUGGACGGCAACUGACGUUGAGGCUCGAAGGCGUGGGGAGCAAACAGGAUUAGAUACCCUGGUA
RNAcentral lists this ribosomal RNA (434 nucleotides) under uncultured Blautia sp. Its description in RNAcentral is "partial 16S ribosomal RNA". It matches the Rfam family "Bacterial small subunit ribosomal RNA", at positions 341 to 792 of the family's 1533-position model. Lineage: Bacteria; Bacillati; Bacillota; Clostridia; Lachnospirales; Lachnospiraceae. The record is from RNAcentral.